Cricetulus griseus (Chinese hamster) is the source of this 45-nucleotide non-coding RNA. NCBI's taxonomy places the organism in Eukaryota, Metazoa, Chordata, Mammalia, Rodentia, Cricetidae. The record is from Rfam.
CAAACGGCUCUUUUCAGAGCCACCUUCAUUUUCAUAAAAAGCUGU